GCAGGGAAAAAAAUGAAAGAUAGGCUUCUGUGUCUUUUUAUAAUAUAUUUACACACUCCCAGAUUCUCAUAAACAAAAGCCUGAGACAAGAAGUCAGUGCUCAGUUUCUCGGUAGAUGAGCUUAUCACGUGAAGCACUUGUCGAUUUCUCCUUCUCUGGCUUUGAAAAACUGGAAUUCUGGAAGGUACCCUUCAUUGGGCUUCGAGUUGCACAGAGGACACUUGGAUCCUAUGGGGCUGAUAAGUACAAUUACGACUACACAGUGAUAAGCUAUUAUUGCUUUUAGUUGUAUUUUCUUAGUUUUCCUGAGGGCGGUUCAAUCCAUUGAAAUUGUAUCUCCUCCGCUUACAAACCAUGGGUGCCUUAGCGCUUGUUCAGCUGAGAAUCGCCGAGAAACAUCUCUGCAAAUCAUCUUUCUCAAUAGAUCCUUCGCCGCAGGCGAAACCGUCCUAAAUAUCCUCGGCGGAAAUCUCAGAUUCCCUCUAAUAACCGCUUCGAAGGUCUCCUCCACAGUCUCGCCGUAAAACGGCGGGAUCCCAGCUAACAUCACAUAUAAAACGACACCAGCGCUCCACACAUCAGCUUUCUCAUUAUACUCCCUUCCCAUCACCACCUCCGGCGCCACAUAAUACGGCGUUCCCACCAC
This 646-nucleotide unclassified non-coding RNA is filed under the name Hevea brasiliensis (rubber tree). Lineage: Eukaryota; Viridiplantae; Streptophyta; Magnoliopsida; Malpighiales; Euphorbiaceae. The record is from RNAcentral.